UGAAGCGGGACMAGCUCAAACUUAAAAUCUCCGUUGCUUGCAACGGCGAAUUGUAGUCUCGAGAAGCGUUUUCAAGGCGGAUGCGCAGUACUUAAGUUGCUUGGAACGGCACAUCGUAGAGGGUGACAAUCCCGUACGUGGUACUGUGUAUCGUUCACGAUGCGCUUUCUAUGAGUCGGGUUGCUUGGGAAUGCAGCCCAAAAUGGGAGGUAAACUCCUUCUAAAGCUAAAUAUUGGCACGAGACCGAUAGCGAACAAGUACCGUGAGGGAAAGAUGAAAAGCACUUUGAAAAGAAAGUUAAUAGUACGUGAAACCGUUAGGAGGGAAGCGCAUGGAAUUAGCAAUGCACUGUCGAGAUUCAGGCGAUCGGUAGUGAGUACGGGCGUCGUACGGAUCCGAAUGGACCGUUGGCGUUCGUCACUUAUUUCUGGUUGUCGCAUUUCCCGUCAGUGUGCGUCAACAGGUGUUGGAACCGAGUGAUACGCCUCGCAAGAAGGUAGCUGGUUUCAGUGUUAUAGCUUGCGAUGUGCCAGCUUGGAUCCGACAGAGGUGUCGCAGCACAUGCCCUCACGGGCUGGCUUCUGUCGCCUCAGUUUGGCGUGACCAUAGCGGACUGCAUGCAGUGCGCUUGAACUUCGUCAAACUGUCGGUGGCUUGAACGCACACUAUGUGCUUAGGUUGUUGGCGGUCAUAUGGUUUCAUGCGACCCGUCUUGAAACACGGACCAAGGAGUCUAACAUGUGUGCGAGUCUUAGGGUGAUUGAAACCCGCAGGCACAAUGAAAGUAAAGGCUCUUCGGAGCUGAAGGUGAGAUCUCUUUGACUUCGGUUGAAGAGCGCAUCAUCGACCGACCUAUUCUACUCUUAGAAAGGUUUGAGUAAGAGCACAUCUGUUGGGACCCGAAAGAUGGUGAACUAU
RNAcentral lists this ribosomal RNA (919 nucleotides) under Apolemiidae environmental sample. RNAcentral describes it as "partial large subunit ribosomal RNA". The record is from RNAcentral. Lineage: Eukaryota; Metazoa; Cnidaria; Hydrozoa; Siphonophorae; Apolemiidae.